UCGGGAAUUUUGGGCAAUGGGCGAAAGCCUGACCCAGCAACGCCGCGUGAAGGAUGAAGUCUCUCGGGAUGUAAACUUCGUAAGAAUAGGAAGAAUAAAUGACGGUACUAUUUGUAAGGUCCGGCUAACUACGUGCCAGCAGCCGCGGUAAUACGUAGGGACCAAGCGUUGUUCGGAUUUACUGGGCGUAAAGGGCGCGUAGGCGGCGUGGUAAGUCACUUGUGAAAUCUCCGAGCUUAACUCGGAACGGUCAAGUGAUACUGCUGUGCUAGAGUACAGAAGGGGCAAUCGGAAUUCUUGGUGUAGCGGUGAAAUGCGUAGAUAUCAAGAGGAACACCUGAGGUGAAGACGGGUUGCUGGGCUGAUACUGACGCUGAGGCGCGAAAGCUAGGGUAGCAAACGGGAUUAGAUACCCGCGUAGUCCCUGAGCGGGCUGGCAAGGCGCAU
Molecule: ribosomal RNA, 447 nt
Filed under: uncultured bacterium
Lineage: Bacteria
Description: bacterial SSU rRNA
Rfam family: Bacterial small subunit ribosomal RNA
Source: RNAcentral